UUGCAAACUGGAGAUGGCGACCGGCGCACGGGUGAGUAACACGCUAUCCAACCUGCCGAUAACUCGGGGAUAGCCUUUCGAAAGAAAGAUUAAUACCCGAUGGNAUAAUCAGACCGCAUGGUCUUNUUAUUAAAGAAUUUCGGUUAUCGAUGGGGAUGCGUUCCAUUAGGCAGUUGGUGAGGUAACGGCUCACCAAACCUUCGAUGGAUAGGGGUUCUGAGAGGAAGGUCCCCCACAUUGGAACUGAGACACGGUCCAAACUCAUACGGGAGGCAGCAGUGAGGAAUAUUGGUCAAUGGGCGCAGGCCUGAACCAGCCAAGUAGCGUGAAGGAUGACUGCCCNUAUGGGUUGUAAACUUCUUUUAUAUGGGAAAUAAAGUUUUUCCACGUGUGGAAUUUUUGUAUGUACCAUAUGAAUAAGGAUCGGCUAACUCCGUGCCAGCAGCCGCGGUAAUACGGAGGAUUCCGAGCGUUAUCCGGAUUUAUUGGGUUUAAAGGGAGCGUAGGUGGACAGUUAAGUCAGUUGUGAAAGUUUGCGGCUCAACCGUAAAAUUGCAGUUGAUACUGGCUGUCUUGAGUACAGUAGAGGUGGGCGGAAUUCGUGGUGUAGCGGUGAAAUGCUUAGAUAUCACGAAGAACUCCGAUUGCGAAGGCAGCUCACUGGACUGCAACUGACACUGAUGCUCGAAAGUGUGGGUAUCAAACAGGAUUAGAUACCCUGGUAGUCCACACAGUAAACGAUGAAUACUCGCUGUUUGCGAUAUACAGUAAGCGGCCAAGCGAAAGCAUUAAGUAUUCCACCUGGGGAGUACGCCGGCCAACGGUGAAACUCAAAGGAAUUGACGGGGGCCCGCACAAGCGGAGGAACAUGUNGGUUUAAUUUCGAUGAUACGCCGANGGAACCUUACCCCGGGCUUUAAAUUGCAUUUGAAUAUUUUGGAAACAGUAUAGCCGNAAGGCAAAUGUGAAGGUGCUGCAUGGUUGUCGUCAGCUCGUGCCGUGAGGUGUCGGCUUAAGUGCCAUAACGAGCGCAACCCUUAUCUUUAGUUACUAACAGGUCAUGCUGAGGACUCUAGAGAGACUGCCGUCGUAAGAUGUGAGGAAGGUGGGGAUGACGUCAAAUCAGCACGGCCCUUACGUCCGGGGCUACACACGUGUUACAAUGGGGGGUACAGAAGGCAGCUACCUGGUGACAGGAUGCUAAUCCCAAAAGCCUCUCUCAGUUCGGAUCGAAGUCUGCAACCCGACUUCGUGAAGCUGGAUUCGCUAGUAAUCGCGCAUCAGCCAUGGCGCGGUGAAUACGUUCCCGGGCCUUGUACACACCGCCCGUCAAGCCAUGAAAGCCGGGGGUACCUGAAGUACGAACCGCAGGAGCUCCUAGG
RNAcentral lists this ribosomal RNA (1382 nucleotides) under bacterium NLAE-zl-C574. Its description in RNAcentral is "bacterial SSU rRNA". It matches the Rfam family "Bacterial small subunit ribosomal RNA", at positions 76 to 1450 of the family's 1533-position model. The record is from RNAcentral.